RNAcentral lists this ribosomal RNA (484 nucleotides) under uncultured bacterium. RNAcentral's name for it is "partial 16S ribosomal RNA". It matches the Rfam family "Bacterial small subunit ribosomal RNA", at positions 30 to 507 of the family's 1533-position model. The record is from RNAcentral.
AUUGAACGCUGGCGGCAGGCCUAACACAUGCAAGUCGAGCGGAUGAAGGGAGCUUGCUCCUGGAUUCAGAGGCGGACGGGUGAGUAAUGCCUAGGAAUCUGCCUGGUAGUGGGGGAUAACGUCCGGAAACGGGCGCUAAUACCGCAUACGUCCUGAGGGAGAAAGUGGGGGAUCUUCGGACCUCACGCUAUCAGAUGAGCCUAGGUCGGAUUAGCUAGUUGGUGGGGUAAAGGCCUACCAAGGCGACGAUCCGUAACUGGUCUGAGAGGAUGAUCAGUUACACUGGAACUGAGACACGGUCCAGACUCCUACGGGAGGCAGCAGUGGGGAAUAUUGGACAAUGGGCGAAAGCCUGAUCCAGCCAUGCCGCGUGUGUGAAGAAGGUCUUCGGAUUGUAAAGCACUUUAAGUUGGGAGGAAGGGCAGUAAGUUAAUACCUUGCUGUUUUGACGUUACCAACAGAAUAAGCACCGGCUAACUUCGUG